AGCUUUUCAGAUUGUGUUGUUUUGUUGGAUCAAGUGCAUACGAAGCACAGAUGGCUUCCUCACCCUAUGGAGCUUCACAGGAAUUCAGAGUUUGAUACAAGGAGGAAUGACUUCUGGGGAACAAUUGAGCCAAAGACUCUAACAAUUGAGCCAAAAACUGCAAUGGAGUGAGGAACCAGCAAGUGGACCAGCUCUUCAUAAUAUCCUCUCCAAACAAGGAGAGGAUUUGAGAUUGCCCACAAGUACUUCAUACCAGGAGUCUUUGCUGGCUGAGGAAUUCUGAGAGUUGAAGUCCACAAGUCUUAAAGGGACCAAGGUUGGAGACCCCUGCUCCAUACAGUUGCUUCUAAUGAGAAGACCUCAGAACAGAGGUCUCUGGCGGGUCUAAGAAAAAUUCUUUCCAUUCAAACUGCAGUCAAGAGAUGGAUAAUAAUACAGAAUGAAGCAAAAUAUCCUAACUCUGAAUAUAUUGAAGGUUAUUUUGGAAAAAAUGUACCAGAAGCUAAUUUAAAAAAUGUUUGCUCUAUAGACCAACUGUGUUUAAAAGAUGUUAUGGAAGAGGAACAAGUUUUACAGGACAAGACUGAGACUCAUCUGAAAUUGGAUUUAAAAAUGAGGCUGCAAGAAUGAUAUGGAAAAAGGUGUUAUACUGGAUAUGCAAAUGAAACUAGCUGAUGUCUUAAUAAUUAAAAGGGAUAUACAAAGAACAAACCAGAAGAGUAAUCCAAAAAGAUUUUUAAAAUCUUUUAAAAUUUUAAUUCUUAAUAAAAAUUUAAAAGGAAAAGACGGAAGGAUGACUUUUAACAUUUCCUGUGACUUCCUGCAGUCCUUAUAACCUCUUCAAAUAUCUUCUGGAGAAUUGGGACCCUCUUUGGAGCAGAAAUGGAAGAAUAAAGGAGCGUAUUUGUAGUUCAAUGUUGACACGAGGGGUCCUGAGCUUGCUUGGUUUUUUUUUCUGCAGAUGUUUCAUUAUCCAAACUAGGUAACGUCAUCACUGCUAGUCUUAUCAUGCACUGAUGAUGUUACCUAGAUUGGGUAAUGAAACAUCUGCAAGAAAACAAACAAGCUCAGAAAACACCAAGGACCCCCUCAAUUGAGUUAGAAUGGAAAGGGUAAUUACCAAAAACCAGCUCCCUCCUUCUUUAUUUCAUGAUGGAUGACACUUAAUCUGGCAGGUCCAGAUUACUUGGAUCCCCUCCAGUGUUAUAACAUAAGCAAUAGCCAAGCACCCUAUUUAUUUCCAAUGUAUUCGUUAUGCUUCCUGCUUAAAACUAUUUAGUUCAUAAAUAUUGUAGAAGAGGAAUGAUGUCAAUGUUGAACUUUGAUGAAUUAAAACAAAAUGUUAACACUUACUCUUACUCAUUAUUUGGAUCUAUAUUUCAAUUUGGAGAAGAUUGUUUGUACAAAGGGAAACCUGUUCCAGCUUAAUGUCUUGCUCUGUUUGAUCUUUUUCUUUAAGGUUUGAGAGACAGUAUGCAUGCUUAGAAUAUGGAGUGGGAAGAAGAAAAAAAAACCAUUGAGACAAUUCACUCCCUGCAUAUCCUUAUUUUAGAAUAGGGGUGUGUCAAACUGGUGGCCAUGGCCACCCCAGCUCCACAAAUGGGAAAAAUGUCAUGAAACAUCACGUGACAGCAACGUGACACAGAGAAUUUGAUACUCUUUUGAGUUUUACAACAUUUAUAUACAGUUAUACUGAUUUCAAGGGGUUUGUCUAUGUACUCAAUAACCGGAAUUAUUGUAUAAUUUACUCUCAGAACUAAAAUGCUACUGGUUGAUUAUUAUCUAAUUUCAUAAAAUUUUUAAUGCUUUAAAAAUCACACUGAAACUACUUCUCUGGAUUUAUUAAAAAUACUUCUCUGAAAGACUUUUACAAAAAUAUAAAUCUUGGAACAGUAGAAUACAGCAAACAAACUGAGUGACCUAUUAUGUCAGAAUCUGAAUCAGAACCCACAUUUUAGAAAAUUUGAGUUAGCCAGCAGAAAUUCAUGAUUUGACACAUACAUGCACAAAUAAGAUCAUCUCUUAUUUGCAGAAAUUGGAGAGGCAAGUCAGAAAAUGUAAUCUAAUAUUUAGGAUUGCCAAAUACAAAUCCUAAAUGUUCAGAAACAUCAUUUUUAAUUUUUUUUAAAAAGUGGGGAAAGACCAUAGAAAAUUAUUUUGCCUUGAUGAAUGGGAAUUGCACUGGUUUUUACUAAACAAUAGAUAAGAAAUUAUUAGAUUAUGAGACAGCAGAUUAGUAAUAGAUGAUUUGAGGUGCAAUGAGUACAACAAUAUAAAAACAAUAAAAUGUGAAACGUUGCAAAGUUGCAGUAAGGAAAUGGGCACAAAGGACGUCUCUAGUCUAUUUGUUUUACUUAUAUAUAUUUAUAUUAUUCCUUUUAUAUGUUAACAGUGCAGUGUUCAUGAAUAUGGAAGGGUGUUGACAAAUAUGGGAUACCAAAUGGCUAUAUUCAUUUUGCAUCUUUGUACAUGGUCAGAUACAAGCACCACAAUGUCUUGCUGAACAGAACAUACUUUAUUCUCUUUAUUUUAUUGACCUUCUUGAAAAUUAAUGAGCUAUAGUCAUUUAGCGAUCUCCACAAACUAUUAAAAAAGUUGCCUAACAAAUAUGUUUUAAAAUGCUCUUGAUUAAAGUUGAUAUGGAAUGUUUACACUGACAUACAAGAACAUUGCUCCUUAAUCCAUUUUUGCAAGGGAUUAAAUUUUCAGUCAGUGAAAACAUGGGUUAACAACAUAGUUUCUGGUUCAUUGAAGCCUCAGACUUUUGGGUUCUCCUUUGAAAUGGAAGAUGUAAAGAUAAUAUAAUGUAAUUCAUUGUUGUAUUAAAGCUGUCAGUACUAAAAAUAAAACCUAGA
Long non-coding RNA from Ahaetulla prasina, 2855 nucleotides. RefSeq lists it as uncharacterized. NCBI's taxonomy places the organism in Eukaryota, Metazoa, Chordata, Lepidosauria, Squamata, Colubridae. The record is from RefSeq and is a predicted model, not a curated record. The transcript is spliced from 4 exons.